UCAGCCGGCUGGACGGCCGCUGCCGUCUCACGACGGUGGAGGAAAGUCCGGGCUCCAUGGAGACAGGGUGGCGGCUAACGGCCGCCGGGGGCGACCCCAGGGACAGUGCCACAGAAAACAAACCGCCCGGCGGGCUUCGGCCCGGCGUGGUAAGGGUGAAACGGUGCGGUAAGAGCGCACCGCGCGACUGGUAACAGGAGCGGCACGGCAAACCCCACCCGGAGCAAGACCAAAUAGGGGUGGCCGCGUGCGGGGAAACCCGGCACGGAGGCGCGUCUUCAGGCCCGUCACCCGGGUUGGUUGCUCGAGGCGCCCAGCAAUGGGCGUCCCAGAUGAAUGGCCGUUCUCGACAGAACCCGGCUUACAGGCCGGCUGGCAUU
RNAcentral lists this RNase P RNA (380 nucleotides) under Hyphomicrobium sp. LHD-15. RNAcentral's name for it is "RNase P RNA component class A". It matches the Rfam family "Bacterial RNase P class A". Rfam says of the family: Ribonuclease P (RNase P) is a ubiquitous endoribonuclease, found in archaea, bacteria and eukarya as well as chloroplasts and mitochondria. Its best characterised activity is the generation of mature 5'-ends of tRNAs by cleaving the 5'-leader elements of precursor-tRNAs. Lineage: Bacteria; Pseudomonadati; Pseudomonadota; Alphaproteobacteria; Hyphomicrobiales; Hyphomicrobiaceae. The record is from RNAcentral.